UACGUAGGUCCCGAGCGUUGUCCGGAUUUAUUGGGCGUAAAGCGAGCGCAGGUGGUUUAUUAAGUCUGGUGUAAAAGGCAGUGGCUCAACCAUUGUAUGCAUUGGAAACUGGUAGACUUGAGUGCAGGAGAGGAGAGUGGAAUUCCAUGUGUAGCGGUGAAAUGCGUAGGUAUAUGGAAGAACACCAGUGGCGAAAGCGGCUCUCUGGUCUGUAACUGACGCUGAGGUUCGAAAGCGUGGGUAGCAAACAGG
This 252-nucleotide ribosomal RNA is filed under the name uncultured bacterium. RNAcentral describes it as "partial 16S ribosomal RNA". It matches the Rfam family "Bacterial small subunit ribosomal RNA", at positions 524 to 776 of the family's 1533-position model. The record is from RNAcentral.